Molecule: ribosomal RNA, 301 nt
Filed under: uncultured bacterium
Lineage: Bacteria
Description: partial 16S ribosomal RNA
Rfam family: Bacterial small subunit ribosomal RNA
Source: RNAcentral
CAGUAGCCGCGGUAAUACGUAGGUGGCAAGCGUUGUCCGGAAUUACUGGGCGUAAAGGGCUCGCAGGCGGUUUCUUAAGUCCGAUGUGAAAGCCCCCGGCUCAACCGGGGAGGGUCAUUGGAAACUGGGAAACUUGAGUGCAGAAGAGGAGAGUGGAAUACCACGUGUAGCGGUGAAAUGCGUAGAGAUGUGGAGGAACACCAGUGGCGAAGGCGACUCUCUGGUCUGUAACUGACGCUGAGGAGCGAAAGCGUGAGGAGCGAACAGGAUUAGAUACCCCCGUAGUCCCUGUCUCUUAUAA